RNAcentral lists this long non-coding RNA (325 nucleotides) under Oryza brachyantha (malo sina). RNAcentral describes it as "long non-coding RNA (OBRA_LNC002046)". The record is from RNAcentral. Lineage: Eukaryota; Viridiplantae; Streptophyta; Magnoliopsida; Poales; Poaceae.
AUGUUGGAUGCAGAGAGACACUUUCAACAUAAGUUCUAAGUUAGCUUAGUACGGAAUGAGUGGCUUCAAGAAAGCAAAAUACAUCGAAGGAGAUAAAGUGUUGCAGGAUUCUUCAAAGCCUGGUCCCGUUUUGACUAGAGAACCUUGAUCCACUAAAAGAGAUGUUACAUGGAAGAUUCUUGGUCUCCUCAGGCUCAUAGUGUCAUUUCUUCAACUUUGAAUUGCUGAAGUAUGAGAAUUGAUAAAUGAAACCAUCUUAAAAUGCACAUAUGGGACCCUCAUAGACAUAUUUGGUUGAGCCAUGCUGGGCAGCUGGCAAUAUACU